Molecule: ribosomal RNA, 253 nt
Filed under: uncultured bacterium
Lineage: Bacteria
Description: partial 16S ribosomal RNA
Rfam family: Bacterial small subunit ribosomal RNA
Source: RNAcentral
UACGAAGGGGGCAAGCGUUGUUCGGAAUUACUGGGCGUAAAGGGAGUGUAGGCGGUUUAGUAAGAUAGUGGUGAAAUCCCAGAGCUUAACUUUGGAAUUGCCAUUAUAACUAUUAGACUAGAAUUAUAGAGAGGAUAGUGGAAUACCCAGUGUAGAGGUGAAAUUCGUAGAUAUUGGGUAGAACACCAGUGGCGAAGGCGACUAUCUGGCUAUAUAUUGACGCUGAGGCUCGAAAGCAUGGGGAUCAAACAGG